Molecule: long non-coding RNA, 244 nt
Filed under: Salvia miltiorrhiza (redroot sage)
Lineage: Eukaryota; Viridiplantae; Streptophyta; Magnoliopsida; Lamiales; Lamiaceae
Description: long non-coding RNA (SMIL_LNC013100)
Source: RNAcentral
AAAAAUACAACAACAAUUUUUAUUUGGCAUAAAACAACAAAUACUAAUAUCACACGAAUAUCGCCGGAAAAAAAACAAAAUACCGCCGGAAAAACUUAAAAUAUCACCGGUCGAUAUUCUCACAUAUUCUGACGGUAUAAUCAAUUAUCACGACGGUAUUUUCGUUUUUCACCGGCGGUAUUCCAAUUAUUUCCGGCGGUAUUAUACUAAUGAGAGUUCGUAGGAUAAUAACUACCUCUUGUGG